GAUGAACGCUGGCGGCGUGUCUAAGGCAUGCAAGUCGAACGAUUCCAUUUGUGAUUACAUCAAUGGUGGAAUAGUGGCGAACGGGUGCGUAACACAUUGGUAACCUACCCCUCUCUCGGGUAUAACUCAGAGAAAUCUGUGCUAAUCCCCGAUAGGUCAUUUGACAUAAGUCAAAUGAUGAAAGCUUCGGCGGAAAGGGAGGGACCUAUGGCCAAUCAGCUAGUUGGUAGGGUAAUGGCCUACCAAGGUUACGACGGGUAGCGGGCGUGAGAGCGCGACCCGCCUCACCGGAACUGAGACACUGUCCGGACUCCUACGGGAGGCAGCAGUAGGGAAUCUUCCACAAUGGACGAAAGUCUGAUGGAGCAACGCCGCGUGAGCGAUGAAGGCCUUCGGGUCGUAAAGCUCUGUUGUUAGGGAAGAACAAGUACCGGAGUAACUGCCGGUACCUUGACGGUACCUAACCAGAAAGCCACGGCUAACUACGUGCCAGCCGCCGCCGUAA
RNAcentral lists this ribosomal RNA (505 nucleotides) under uncultured bacterium. Its description in RNAcentral is "partial 16S ribosomal RNA". It matches the Rfam family "Bacterial small subunit ribosomal RNA", at positions 28 to 523 of the family's 1533-position model. The record is from RNAcentral.